RNAcentral lists this transfer RNA (72 nucleotides) under Cavia porcellus (domestic guinea pig). It matches the Rfam family "tRNA". Rfam says of the family: Transfer RNA (tRNA) molecules are approximately 80 nucleotides in length. Lineage: Eukaryota; Metazoa; Chordata; Mammalia; Rodentia; Caviidae. The record is from Rfam by way of RNAcentral.
GGGAAUGUGGCUCAGUGGUACAGUUCUUGCCUUAUGUGCACAAGACCCUGGGUUCAAUCUCCAGCACAACCA